Acanthosepion pharaonis is the source of this 114-nucleotide non-coding RNA. NCBI's taxonomy places the organism in Eukaryota, Metazoa, Mollusca, Cephalopoda, Sepiida, Sepiidae. The record is from the annotation of a GenBank genome assembly.
UUACGACCAUAUCACGUUGAGACAUGGGUUCCCAUAAGAUUACAGAAGUUAAGCAACGUCGCGCCUGAUCAGUACCCAGAUUAUUGACUGCUUGGGAAUAACAAAUGCUGUAAG